GAUACUGGCUCAGGAUGAACGCUGGCGGCGUGCUUAACACAUGCAAGUCGAACGAAGCACCUUGAUUUGAUUCUUCGGAUGAAGAUCCUGGUGACUGAGUGGCGGACGGGUGAGUAACGCGUGGGUAACCUGCCUCAUACAGGGGGAUAACAGUUAGAAAUGACUGCUAAUACCGCAUAAGACCACAGCACCGCAUGGUGCAGGGGUAAAACUACCGGUGGUAUGAGAUGGACCCGG
RNAcentral lists this ribosomal RNA (237 nucleotides) under uncultured bacterium. Its description in RNAcentral is "partial 16S ribosomal RNA". It matches the Rfam family "Bacterial small subunit ribosomal RNA", at positions 15 to 234 of the family's 1533-position model. The record is from RNAcentral.